Molecule: non-coding RNA, 572 nt
Organism: Mus musculus (house mouse)
Lineage: Eukaryota; Metazoa; Chordata; Mammalia; Rodentia; Muridae
Source: the annotation of a RefSeq genome assembly
ACAAACGCACUGACUCAGACUUUUCUCCCAAGCCUACUAUUUUCCUUCCUUCUGCUGCUGAAACAAAUCUCCAUAAGGCUGGGACCUACCUUUGUCUCCUUGAAAAGUUCUUUCCUGAAGUCAUAAGGGUGUAUUGGAAAGAAAAGGAUGGUGAAAAGAUUCUGGAAUCCCAGGAAGGAAACACCAUAAAAACUAAUGACAGAUACAUGAAAUUUAGUUGGCUGACGGUGACUGAAGAUUCAAUGGCUAAAGAACAUAGUUGCAUUGUCAAACACGAAAACAACAAAAGAGGAGUUGACCAAGAGAUUCUGUUUCCUCCCAUAGGUAAAGCUUUCACAACUAUUAAUGUUAAUCCCAGAGAUAGUGUUUUGCGGCAUGAAAAUGUUAACAAUGCUACUGAUCUGGAAGAUUGCAUGAAAGGAAGAAAGGAUAUGUUGCAGCUUCAGGUCACCACCACCUAUGCAUUCUACACCUACCUCAUCCUGUUCUUCAAGAGCAUGGUCCACUUGGCCUUCGUUGUAUUCUGUCUAUUCAGAAGAGCAGCCAUGUCCUGUGAUGAUCAACGUUCAUAA